Mus musculus (house mouse) is the source of this 342-nucleotide long non-coding RNA. RefSeq annotates it as predicted gene 15579. The record is from RefSeq and is a predicted model, not a curated record. Lineage: Eukaryota; Metazoa; Chordata; Mammalia; Rodentia; Muridae. The transcript is spliced from 2 exons.
GUCCAGUAGCUAGGCAACUGCAAACUGACGCCGACGUGGGGCAUGAUGGGAGAAUACUAUGGUUUACGCUGGCGCGGAACUUAAUAGACACCAAAGGGCUAAGACACUCCGUUUUGAGGUUGGAAGAUGGUUCGGUGGUCAAGAGCACGGCUGCUCUUCUGGAGGACACCGGUUUGAUUUCUAGCACUCACAACUGCUCACAACCGGUUGUAACUUCAGUUCCAUGGGAUCCUAACCCUCUUUUGAUCCUUGUGGGCUUUGCAUGCCUGUGGUGAAAAAGACAUGUGUUGUGUGUGUGUGCAGGGAAAUAAAUAAAUACAAUUAUAUAUUCUGGUAUAUAUA